UUAACAAAUGUGGAAGCUGAAGUCCACAAUCCACAGAACACAAAUACUCCAUGAUGUCAUCAAAGUAAUGUUCCACAUAUUGCCCCACCAAAGUGCCACAUCCCUGACCCAGACAGACCAUCUCUAGGGGUAAGACUUUAGCCUCCAGGUUCAUUUUGUCCUCAGGCUUUC
This 171-nucleotide small RNA is filed under the name Gopherus agassizii (Agassiz's desert tortoise). Its description in RNAcentral is "TUC338 (ENSGAGG00000022161.1)". The record is from RNAcentral. Lineage: Eukaryota; Metazoa; Chordata; Testudines; Testudinidae.